Molecule: long non-coding RNA, 317 nt
Organism: Manacus vitellinus (golden-collared manakin)
Lineage: Eukaryota; Metazoa; Chordata; Aves; Passeriformes; Pipridae
Exons: 3
Source: RefSeq, a predicted model, not a curated record
AAGACAAGGGCAGGGAUGGUCUAAGGCAAAACACUGCCGUGUGAGUAGGGGUAGAUGUCACCAGUCCAGGGCAAUGGUUGCUUUCCGUGAGGGAAGCAGCUGGGAGCUCCUGGCAGUUGAAAUGAGUGCUGUCUCGUGCCCUCUGCUCCCCAUCCUUACAGAACAGAGCCUGUUGUGUGGAACCUGUUCAGGCUGGAGAUGGUGGAAAGGCUAAAGUUCAAGUUCACAGACCCAAAAUGUGUGUGAUGAGAAGAGCAAAUCAGAGAUCUCCCAAUUAUCCAUUUUGCUGCAGGGAACCAUAGCAGCAGUGUUACACA